This 497-nucleotide ribosomal RNA is filed under the name uncultured bacterium. Its description in RNAcentral is "partial 16S ribosomal RNA". It matches the Rfam family "Bacterial small subunit ribosomal RNA", at positions 28 to 507 of the family's 1533-position model. The record is from RNAcentral.
GACGAACGCUGGCGGCGUGCCUAAUACAUGCAAGUUGAGCGCUGAAGGUUGGUACUUGUACCAACUGGAUGAGCAGCGAACGGGUGAGUAACGCGUGGGGAAUCUGCCUUUGAGCGGGGGACAACAUUUGGAAACGAAUGCUAAUACCGCAUAAAAACUUUAAACACAAGUUUUAAGUUUGAAAGAUGCAAUUGCAUCACUCAAAGAUGAUCCCGCGUUGUAUUAGCUAGUUGGUGAGGUAAAGGCUCACCAAGGCGAUGAUACAUAGCCGACCUGAGAGGGUGAUCGGCCACAUUGGGACUGAGACACGGCCCAAACUCCUACGGGAGGCAGCAGUAGGGAAUCUUCGGCAAUGGACGAAAGUCUGACCGAGCAACGCCGCGUGAGUGAAGAAGGGUUUCGGAUCGUAAAACUCUGUUGGUAGAGAAGAACGUUGGUGAGAGUGGAAAGCUCAUCAAGUGACAGUAACUACCCAGAAAGGGACGGCUAACUACGUG